CACGCCCAGGCUUCACUGUAGGACCCAACAACAUAAACAGAGGCACGCAAGGCUUUAUGUUGUCAUUUAUGGGAAUUAACAGCGACUUCUGAGGUUCUUGGAAAACGACUGACAAAGCUUCAUGUUGCAGGUUUACAAGUUGCAGAGCUCCUUGCCAAGAAGCGCAGUAAAGAAGAGCUGCUGUUUUGUUUGACUACUUAUGGAGUGUUCUAACUUUCAUUUUGGCUAACUUAGUUUGCUUUGUUUUGAUUGUCAUGGACAGCUUUUAUUCACUUGUUAUUUUGGCCUUGAG
This is a long non-coding RNA of Thunnus maccoyii (southern bluefin tuna), 292 nucleotides long. RefSeq lists it as uncharacterized. NCBI's taxonomy places the organism in Eukaryota, Metazoa, Chordata, Actinopteri, Scombriformes, Scombridae. The record is from RefSeq and is a predicted model, not a curated record. The transcript is spliced from 3 exons.